RNAcentral lists this long non-coding RNA (451 nucleotides) under Phoenix dactylifera (date palm). RNAcentral's name for it is "long non-coding RNA (PDAC_LNC015440)". Lineage: Eukaryota; Viridiplantae; Streptophyta; Magnoliopsida; Arecales; Arecaceae. The record is from RNAcentral.
AGCGAGCGAGCGAGCGAGAGAAAGGGGUCUAAAGACUCCCCUCCACCAAGCGAGGCGAGCGAAGACCUCUGGGGCAAGAAAUCGGCCGGUAUUUAUAGAGGCCGAGGCGGAUGAGGGGGAAACUGAGAGCGCCCACCGCGUUCCCACGCCUCGGAAUCGGAAUGGGAGGACGGGAAGAAGAUCUCGGAGAGCAAGGAGGAGGAGGAGGGACGCUUCUAGGUGAGGUCUCACCGUUUCAGGUCGAGCAAAUCAAAAUUGGCAAGAGAGACCAAAAUGCUUGAGCUCUCGGGCACCCUCAAGCCUACCGUUGGAUCAUCCACUGAUUGCUUUGAGAUCUGCGCACUGGGUGAUCCAACGGUCGAAGGAAGGUGAAUCCUUCUUUCGCACGAAAGAAGACCCGAUCCCCGCGCUUUCGUGCGAACCAGGAGUUGGCUGCCAAAAUGUUGUGCCG